CAAGGCGUAGCUAUAAUACAGAGCAUUCAGCUUACACCUGAGAGAUAUCUACUCACAACAGAUCGCCUUGA
Molecule: transfer RNA, 71 nt
Filed under: Tockus nasutus (African grey hornbill)
Lineage: Eukaryota; Metazoa; Chordata; Aves; Bucerotiformes; Bucerotidae
Description: Lophoceros nasutus tRNA-Val
Source: RNAcentral